GAAUAUUGGACAAUGGGUGAAAGCCUGAUCCAGCCAUCCCGCGUGAAGGAUGACGGUCCUAUGGAUUGUAAACUUCUUUUGUACAGGAAUAAACCUACUCUCGUGAGAGUAGCUGAAGGCACUGUACGAAUAAGCACCGGCUAACUCCGUGCCAGCAGCCGCGGUAAUACGGAGGGUGCAAGCGUUAUUCGGAUUUAUUGGGUUUAAAGGGUCCGUAGGCGGGCCUGUAAGUCAGUGGUGAAAUCUCAUAGCUUAACUAUGAAACUGCCAUUGAUACUGCAGGUCUUGAGUAAAUUUGAAGUGGCUGGAAUAAGUAGUGUAGCGGUGAAAUGCAUAGAUAUUACUUAGAACACCAAUUGCGAAGGCAGGUCACUAAGAUUUAACUGACGCUGAUGGACGAAAGCGUGGGUAGCGAACAG
RNAcentral lists this ribosomal RNA (419 nucleotides) under uncultured bacterium. Its description in RNAcentral is "bacterial SSU rRNA". It matches the Rfam family "Bacterial small subunit ribosomal RNA", at positions 359 to 775 of the family's 1533-position model. The record is from RNAcentral.